Molecule: long non-coding RNA, 990 nt
Organism: Mus musculus (house mouse)
Lineage: Eukaryota; Metazoa; Chordata; Mammalia; Rodentia; Muridae
Product: predicted gene, 41588
Exons: 2
Source: RefSeq, a predicted model, not a curated record
AAGCGGCACACGUGCCUCAAAUCCUUUCCUCCCCACUUUUUGGUCCUUUACACCGAGAGCAUGUCAAAAACCCGCAACAGUAUCUAGGCGCUUAAGACCCUAUUGUGUGUGUGUGUGUGUGUGUUUGUUUGUUUAUACAUAACAGGAUGACCAGUCCCCUCCCCUCCCCUCCUCUCCUCUCCCCGUAUCUCUUUUUGCUUCUUACUUUAAGAGCUUGAAUAACCAACUCUUUAUUCUCUCAAGGGCUUCUGUCCCUCAAGAUGCCAUAGAGUCAUCUGAAGCUUGAGAGUUUAGGGACUGAGAGCCACAGUAAAGAGGAAACGGAAGAGAAGGGCUGCAGGGAGAGAAUAGCUGCAAGGGGAGAGGGCUCCAGGGAGAGGUGACCCGGGGAAGGGGAGCUGCAGGGGGAGGGGGACUGUAGGGGGAGGGGUCUGCUUCUUGGAGAAUUCCAUCAUUGACUCACCUCGGCAGACUGGGCAAAUUCUGGGGCAGAGAAGGGUUUGGACAUGAGAAGGGAGCUGGCGAGGGCAGAUACUUGGCAUGGAGCUGGGGUACUUGAGACUAGACAUCCUCAGUGGGCUUAUAAAAAUUAAGCUGGCCGGGCGGUGGUGGCGCACGCCUUUAAUCCCAGCGCUUGGGAGGCAGAGGCAAAGCAAUCUCUGAGUUUGAGGCCAGCCUGGUCUACAGAGUGAGAGUUCUAGGAUUGCCAAGUCUAUACAGAGGAACCUUGCCUCGAAAAACAAUACAACAAAAAAUCAUAGAGCUGGUAUGGUGGCCCAUACCUGUGAUUUUAGCGACUGCGAAGUGAUGCUAGAAAGAUCAGGAUUCCAAGCUAGCCUUGUCUACUUGAGACAAACAGAACACCUGCCUCACAACAAAACAACCCAGCCACUCAUUCCGGAGUCUGAAGGGAAGAAGGUCACUCUUUCCAAUGUGCACAACCAGACAUUCCAGGAAUGGCACCAGAAUUACAGACAUUGUUUUAUUUAA